Long non-coding RNA from Gopherus evgoodei (Goodes thornscrub tortoise), 1722 nucleotides. RefSeq lists it as uncharacterized. The transcript has 2 exons. Lineage: Eukaryota; Metazoa; Chordata; Testudines; Testudinidae. The record is from RefSeq and is a predicted model, not a curated record.
CCCUCUGUGCCUCAGUUCCCCAUCUGUAAAAUGGGAUCAGUACAUUAAAGACUGAGAGGUGCUCAGACAGGCAGAAAGGUCUAGAUAGAUGCCUAAAUACCUUUGAGGAUGUGGGCUGUUGCUCCUGAAAUGAAUGGGACAGGAGACACUGGAGUAGCUUGUGGAUGGCAUUAAAACACAUAUUGGUUACAUGAUUGCAGGGAGACUGUGUUGCAUUGAUUGUUCUUUUACAUCUAUCGGCAUGGUGCCUGUUACGCUUUUAGAUUGUGUCUCAGUCUCAUACUGAGUCCUGUGGUUUGAUUAAAGAUCAUUAAGCAGCAGUGGUAUGAAACAUCACUGGAUGUCAGGUUUCAGAGUGGUAUCCGUGUUAGGGGGAGGAGCUUUUGGUUUGCACGGGGUACUUAAUACACAGGACAGUAAGACACAAAUUCUAAGUCACAGCACCUUUAAAGGGAGAAUGGGUUAGAAGGUGUUUCCAUGGGAUUCAAAGACACACUGUAGCUGGUGUCAAAGCCCCUCAGCUCCAUGUUGUGCUUCUUAUGUUCCCACAAAGCAAGAGAAGAGAAGAAGAAAGCUUGCUGUAGUCACUUCAUAUUGCUGAGUCAUUAACUUCUUUUUGCUGAGUCAUUCUGCAGCUGUGUCUGACAAACCAGGAGAAGACAAGCAGGACAGCUCAAGUCCCACCCAGUGAUCUCUGUCAGGAUGGGAUAUUGUGCUAGGUCAUUGUGCAGCUGUUUUUGUCUGCAUUUGAACCUUGUUCUGCAAGUGUUUGCUACCCCAGACACUGCAAGGAGGCGCAUGAAAGCCAGAAAGUGAAAGUGAUUUAUCAUCUUCCAUUGUUGUAUGCAGUGUUGUUAUAACCAUGUUGGUCCAUGGCUAUUAAGAGAGAGCACUUUCAGGCCACACAGAGCUCUUCUGAAGCAGCUCAAAAGCUUGUCUCUCUCACCAGUAGAAGCGAGUCCAAUAAAAGAUAUCAUCUCACACACUAGGUCUCUCUAAAGUGAGUUAGUUUAACUGUCCAAGCUGAGUGAAAUACAAGAAAGCAGGGCCUAGAAAAAUUGUGAAAUGAAUCAUUUAAAAAAAAAAACCUUUUGAUUUUCAUAAUCUUAGGUGUUACAUGUUACACAGGCAGGAAAUUGGGUUUUAAGUAAGAUUUAUUAUUUGAUAGCAUGCUAUGUUAAUGGCUUUUUGCACUGGGGAAAUGAGGUGGAGUCCCCUGUGUAACUAAUAAUAUUAACACAUCUAUAGUGCAUUUGUUUUUUAAAGCUACAGCAUUGAGAUUCAGGAUCUGGUUUUCAGAAGGAGCUCAGCACACUGGAUGCUGAAUUCUUUUGAAAAUCUGGCCUCAAGCAUGAUUGCUGAACUCCCCAAAAUCUGAUCCUUUGGGGUUGUCUUUCAGAGGGGCUGUGCCUCCAGAACUCCAGAUGAAGUCAAUAGCUGCAGGUGCUCAGGGCCUCUGGCAAUCAGGCUCAAAUUUAUAAAGCAUCACAAAACCCCUCCUCUGGAGGUAAAAAGUAGCCCUGUUUUCAGGUAGGAAAAAGGGAGGCAGAGACCUCAUAUGUUUUGCCCAAAACCAGUCUAGUUGCAUUAUUCUGUGCUGCAGGUGGACUUGAAGAAUGCAUCACAAAUUAUUUUUUUUCCUCCUCCUGUAUUUUUCUUGCAGCUGGUUUACAUACAUAUGGUUGCAUGGUAAUGUUUGAAAUAAACGCAACAUAAUUGCUA